RNAcentral lists this ribosomal RNA (307 nucleotides) under Amoebophrya sp. RNAcentral's name for it is "SSU rRNA". It matches the Rfam family "Eukaryotic small subunit ribosomal RNA", at positions 595 to 906 of the family's 1831-position model. The record is from RNAcentral. Lineage: Eukaryota; Dinophyceae; Syndiniales; Amoebophryaceae.
GAACGUAUAUUAAAGUUGUUGCGGUUAAAAAGCUCGUAGUUGGAUUUCUGUUGAGGGCAGCGCGUCUACCUUUUGGGUAAGUAUGUUGUUUGACCUCGGCAUCUUCUUGAGAAACGAUGUUGUGCUUGAUUGCAUGAGUCGCGGCUCAGGACUUUUACUUUGAGGAAAUUAGAGUGUUCACGGCAGGCAAUCGCCUUGAAUAUAUUAGCAUGGAAUAAUAAUAUAGGAUCUUGGGUCUAUUUUGUUGGUUUCUAGAGCUAAGAUAAUGAUUAAUAGGGACAAUUGGGGGCAUUCGUAUUAACGCGUC